ACAAUAUUUUUGGUCUUAAGAAUUCCUUAAUGUGUUAUGCCUACUUUGAAGUAUAAUCAAAAACGUCAAAUUUCGGUUAAAAAUCAAUUAAUUCACAAAAACAAGUUUUUACGCUCGCUUGAGGUGGUUUUUGAUUUAAGCGAGAAAGAGUAAAUGCGAAAAAGGAAGAUGAAAACGCAUUUGCCGAAUUAAUUCUGACAGAGAACAUUAAACCCCCGGGACUGACCGUCUGUCUAGCUGUUUCCGCUGGAGUUGUCUUUACCAUGUGGGGCUCGAGCCUCGACGUCGUCGCCUUGCUGCUAGUGCCUUCAUCAAAAAAGCUGCAUUCCUUCUUCUGUGCACAGCAUUCACUUUGGCAAUUACAAGCUGCACGGCUAAUAAUAAAUUCAUAACUUUCCCCAUCGUGAUAAAUUCAUAACGUUCGCCAUCGUGAAAUGAUGACUGCAGUCCUGUCUUUGUUUUGUUUACUGUUGGUUGCUAGGUUACCAAUGCCACCGUCAUUCGCUCAGACAACUUGAUGGAAACGCGCUAAUUCGUUUUUUUUUUUUUUUUUUUUUGCGAAUUUUGAAAAAAUAAAGGCUUCACGUUUUAAUGGAAACCUAGCUAACCUUACUGAUCUUAUCUUUUGUUCUCAAUUGUAAUUAUAUUAAGAUUGUGUUGUGGUCACAUGACAUGCAGAUUAAACAAGUAAAAUAUGUUUGUUAUUAAGUGUUUUAUUUAGAUUUAUGUAAAAAAAUUAUUUAUCUACAACUUUUUUAUUUACUCAUAAAACCCUUGCAAUUUUCCCACGGACCACCAGGGGUUCUCGAGAACCGGCGGCGAGCUGAUGGCGGGAGGUUUUAUGUGGCAGUAGUUCACAAAAUGUGAUACAAAACCCCAUGACUUUGCAAAAUCAGCGGAAGUAUGUAUAUGGCAAAUUAUAAAUUAUGUAGGUGCGAUUUUACUGUAAGCCAUGAUGGACUUUACACAGAUCAUCGACGGAACGACCGACAAAAAGACCCAAGCGUGUCACACGCCAAAACAUCUCCAGCGUCUGAUAUGAUGUCUUCAUCUACGAAGUACAGAGUGGAAAAACAGCCUGGAUAACCACAUACUUCUUCAUCUUCUUUUAUGCUUAACACAUGGAACAUGAUAAAGAUAGUGCCAACGUCAUGAUUACAUUGCGGUGCUAGCUGAAGGGCAAAACACAAGAACAACUGAAGGUGGCCAAUACAAAACAGCACUGAGUCGGCUACACAAGGAACGCAAAUAUCAUCUUGUUGUGUUAGGACAGGAGCCAAUCUGUAAUUGUAUUACAUACCUGCUGCCACUGCCAAGCAAAAAAAUAAAAAUAAACAAAACAAAACAAUGACAGUUGUGAUGAAAAGCAAUAAAACAAGCAGACUGGACAAAAAUGAUCUUUAAAAAUCCUCGCCUUUCCAGCGCACACUAUGAUGUACCUGCCCAUUCAGCACAUUAUUUUAGACAUUAAAUGAUUUAUGCCCCCUUAUUUUCUCUAUAACUAAAGUGUUGAUGUCAGGCCACUUCACUGGAGGUAGUCCUGUUACAUCGUCCAUCCAUUAAGUGAGCGUGUACGAGUCAGCGAGCCUGGUUCCGACCAUUAACGUUUUUAAAUAGCAUUCGCAGUCCUGGACAGUGUGUGACCUUACAUAGUCAGAUAAAAUCAUAUAAAUACAUUUUCUCCAGUCAUUGAUUAAAAAUGGUAACACUUUACAAUAAGGUUGUAUUUGUUAACAUUUAUUAAAUGGCUUGUUGGAAUGCUUGAUUCUGAUUGGCCAGUUGUGACAUUUACAGGUUUGCUAUUCUCAGAUAACAACCGCUCAAAACUAAUAACACAAGGUUACCCGGAUGCUGCAAAUCAUUUUGACAGGUAGUGUAUUAUUACACAAAAAUGAAAUAUAAAUGUCUUUUAAUAACAUAUAUGACAUUAUAGUUACAAAUGAUUAACCAAAUAGUGUGUUUGUGACAUUUGAACAUCUUAACUUAAAUCGGAAAAUAUUUUAAAUCAAUAUUUAAUGUUCCUUACCUUAAAUAACCAUGUAAUAAGUGGGAUAAUGUACAGCCAGCAAGUUUCACUUUUUGUUUUUGUUAUUCACGUCUGCAAUAACAACUGGCCUCCUAUACAUUAUUCCUUACUUAAUGCAUUGGCUAACAUGAACUAACAAUGAACAAUACAAUGGUAUUUAUUAAUCUUAGUUCAUAUUAAUCUCAUCAUUUACUAAUACAUUUUUAAAAUUAAAAUAUGUAUCUGUUAACGUGAGUUAAAGCAUCAAUAACACACGCUGUUUCUGCAUAUCUGAUGUUAAUCUGGAGUACCUAUGUAAGGAAUAAUUGACGACAGGCCAUUGAAUUAUAAGAAAAUAAUGCACACCCAAAGUGGUUAUACAGCGAAGGGGAGUGUCAUUACACCGCGCGUGUGCAUUAUUUUUGAAUAAUUCAAAGGACCAUAGUCAAUUAUUCCGCUUAUACCACGGUUACCAAAAAUAUUGCUCUGGUGCCUAUAUUUAACACAUUUUAAAGGUUAGGUGUGCGGUUAUUGAAAAAUAAUCAA
Misgurnus anguillicaudatus (oriental weatherfish) is the source of this 2551-nucleotide non-coding RNA. Lineage: Eukaryota; Metazoa; Chordata; Actinopteri; Cypriniformes; Cobitidae. The record is from RefSeq and is a predicted model, not a curated record.